GUACCUUCCAUGUGCGUCCCUCCUGAAGCUGCACGCUUGGUUGAAGAAGACAAACAUCCCCAAAGAGGAGGUUAUAGGAGUAGCUACGCUCCCCUGCUAGAACCUCCAAACAAGUUCUCAAGUUAUCCAGGGUGGCCUCAAGUUCACAAUUCUCCUAUUCCAGCCUCCCAAGCUGCUAGGAUUA
RNAcentral lists this small RNA (184 nucleotides) under Castor canadensis (American beaver). Its description in RNAcentral is "7SK RNA (ENSCCNG00000026715.1)". It matches the Rfam family "7SK RNA", at positions 99 to 331 of the family's 331-position model. Rfam says of the family: 7SK was discovered as an abundant small nuclear RNA in the mid-70s but a possible function has only recently been suggested. Two independent studies have found that 7SK RNA binds the CDK9/cyclin T complex (known as elongation factor P-TEFb). Lineage: Eukaryota; Metazoa; Chordata; Mammalia; Rodentia; Castoridae. The record is from RNAcentral.